AUACUUUUAUAGUUCAUAAGUGUGGUGAUUGGCUGUUCACACACGUAUGAGAUGUGCCACCCUAGAACCUUGUUACAGUGUUAGCACAUUACAAGUCUGACA
This is a small nucleolar RNA of Papio anubis (olive baboon), 102 nucleotides long. The record is from Ensembl. Lineage: Eukaryota; Metazoa; Chordata; Mammalia; Primates; Cercopithecidae.